Molecule: ribosomal RNA, 425 nt
Filed under: uncultured bacterium
Lineage: Bacteria
Description: partial 16S ribosomal RNA
Rfam family: Bacterial small subunit ribosomal RNA
Source: RNAcentral
GUGGGGAAUAUUGGACAAUGGGCGCAAGCCUGAUCCAGCCAUGCCGCGUGAGUGAUGAAGGCCUUAGGGUUGUAAAGCUCUUUCAGUAGGGAAGAUAAUGACGGUACCUACAGAAGAAGCCCCGGCUAACUUCGUGCCAGCAGCCGCGGUAAUACGAAGGGGGCUAGCGUUGUUCGGAUUUACUGGGCGUAAAGCGCACGUAGGCGGAUUGGUCAGUUAGAGGUGAAAUCCUGAAGCUCAACUUCGGAACUGCCUUUAAUACUGCCAGUCUCGAGUCAGGAAGAUGUGAGUGGAACUCCUAGUGUAGAGGUGGAAUUCGUAGAUAUUAGGAAGAACACCAGUGGCGAAGGCGGCUCACUGGUCCGGUACUGACGCUGCGGUGCGAAAGCGUGGGGAGCAAACAGGAUUAGAAACCCCAGUAGUCC